CCUAGGGGAGACUGCAGUGGGGAAUAUUGCACAAUGGGGGAAACCCUGAUGCAGCGACGCCGCGUGAGUGAAGAAGUAAUUAGUUAUGUAAAGCUCUAUCAGCAGGGAAGAAAAUGACGGUACCUGAGUAAGAAGCCCCGGCUAACUACGUGCAAGCAGCCGCGGGAAUACGGAGGGGGCAAGCGUUAACCGGAUUUACUGGGUGUAAAGGGAGCGUAGACGGAAGUGCAAGUCUGGAGGGAAAGGCGGGGGCUCAACCCCCGGACUGCUGUUGAAACUGUACGGCUGGAGUGCAGGAGAGGUAAGUGGAAUUCCUGGUGUAGCGGUGAAAUGCGUAGAUAUUAGGCGGAACACCAGUGGCGAAGGCGGCUUACUGGACUGUAACUGACGUUGAGGCUCGAAAGCGUGGGGAGCAAACAGGAUUAGAUACCCCUGUAGUC
RNAcentral lists this ribosomal RNA (440 nucleotides) under uncultured bacterium. RNAcentral describes it as "partial 16S ribosomal RNA". It matches the Rfam family "Bacterial small subunit ribosomal RNA", at positions 338 to 795 of the family's 1533-position model. The record is from RNAcentral.